This 492-nucleotide ribosomal RNA is filed under the name uncultured bacterium. RNAcentral describes it as "partial 16S ribosomal RNA". It matches the Rfam family "Bacterial small subunit ribosomal RNA", at positions 29 to 507 of the family's 1533-position model. The record is from RNAcentral.
AGUGAACGCUGGCGGUAGGCCUAACACAUGCAAGUCGAACGGCAGCACAGUAAGAGCUUGCUCUUACGGGUGGCGAGUGGCGGACGGGUGAGGAAUACAUCGGAAUCUACUUUUUCGUGGGGGAUAACGUAGGGAAACUUACGCUAGUACCGCAUACGACCUACGGGUGAAAGCAGGGGAUCGUCGGACCUUGCGCGAUUGAAUGAGCCGAUGUCGGAUUAGCUAGUUGGCGGGGUAAAGGCCCACCAAGGCGACGAUCCGUAGCUGGUCUGAGAGGAUGAUCAGCCACACUGGGACUGAGACACGGUCCAGACUCCUACGGGAGGCAGCAGUGGGGAAUAUUGGACAAUGGGCGCAAGCCUGAUCCAGCCAUACCGCGUGGGUGAAGAAGGCCUUCGGGUUGUAAAGCCCUUUUGUUGGGAAAGAAAAGCAGCAGGUUAAUACCCCGCUGUUCUGACGGUACCCAAAGAAUAAGCACCGGCUAACUUCGUG